GCAAACUUGGUCAUUUAGAGGAAGUAAAAGUCGUAACAAGGUUUCCGUAGGUAUGUAUUGCGUCGACCCCCAUUCCUCUUAAGUAAACUUGUGCUAACGUUGAAUUUCUAGGUGAACCUGCGGAAGGAUCAUUACCGAGAUAGGGUCUUCACAGGCCCGACCUCCCAACCCUAUGUUUAUUAAACCUAUGUUGCUUCGGCGGGCCCGUCUCACGACCGCCGGAGGACCGUAAAACGUCCUCUGGCCCGUGCCCACCGGUAGCCAAACUUGACAAACUCUGAAUCAAAUCGUGUCACUGUCUGAGUACCAUUUUUAAUUAAAAACAAAACUUUCAACAACGGAUCUCUUGGUUCUGGCAUCGAUGAAGAACGCAGC
RNAcentral lists this unclassified non-coding RNA (375 nucleotides) under uncultured fungus. RNAcentral's name for it is "partial contains small subunit ribosomal RNA, internal transcribed spacer 1, and 5.8S ribosomal RNA". The stretch from base 1 to 134 matches the Rfam family "Eukaryotic small subunit ribosomal RNA", at positions 1759 to 1831 of the family's 1831-position model. The record is from RNAcentral. Lineage: Eukaryota; Fungi.